AUUGAACGCUGGCGGCAGGCCUAACACAUGCAAGUCGAGCGGAUGAAGGGAGCUUGCUCCUGGAUUCAGCGGCGGACGGGUGAGUAAUGCCUAGGAAUCUGCCUGGUAGUGGGGGAUAACGUCCGGAAACGGGCGCUAAUACCGCAUACGUCCUGAGGGAGAAAGUGGGGGAUCUUCGGACAUCACGCUAUCAGAUGAGCCUAGGUCGGAUUAGCUAGUUGGUGGGGUAAAGGCCUACCAAGGCGACGAUCCGUAACUGAUCUGAGAGGAUGAUCAGUCACACUGGAACUGAGACACGGUCCAGACUCCUACGGGAGGCAGCAGUGGGGAAUAUUGGACAAUGGGCGAAAGCCUGAUCCAGCCAUGCCGCGUGUGUGAAGAAGGUCUUCGGAUUGUAAAGCACUUUAAGUUGGGAGGAAGGGCAGUAAGUUAAUACCUUGCUGUUUUGACGUUACCAACAGAAUAAGCACCGGCUAACUUCGUG
RNAcentral lists this ribosomal RNA (484 nucleotides) under uncultured bacterium. RNAcentral describes it as "partial 16S ribosomal RNA". It matches the Rfam family "Bacterial small subunit ribosomal RNA", at positions 30 to 507 of the family's 1533-position model. The record is from RNAcentral.